This 924-nucleotide ribosomal RNA is filed under the name Nocardiopsis synnemataformans. RNAcentral's name for it is "bacterial SSU rRNA". It matches the Rfam family "Bacterial small subunit ribosomal RNA", at positions 105 to 1031 of the family's 1533-position model. RNAcentral also lists the same sequence under 1 other name. Lineage: Bacteria; Bacillati; Actinomycetota; Actinomycetes; Streptosporangiales; Nocardiopsidaceae. The record is from RNAcentral.
GGUGAGUAACACGUGAGCAACCUGCCCCUGACUCUGGGAUAAGCGGUGGAAACGCCGUCUAAUACCGGAUACGACCCGCCACCUCAUGGUGGAGGGUGGAAAGUUUUUCGGUCAGGGAUGGGCUCGCGGCCUAUCAGCUUGUUGGUGGGGUAACGGCCUACCAAGGCGAUUACGGGUAGCCGGCCUGAGAGGGCGACCGGCCACACUGGGACUGAGACACGGCCCAGACUCCUGCGGGAGGCAGCAGUGGGGAAUAUUGCGCAAUGGGCGAAAGCCUGACGCAGCGACGCCGCGUGGGGGAUGACGGCCUUCGGGUUGUAAACCUCUUUUACCACCAACGCAGGCUCGAAGUUUUCUUCGGGUUGACGGUAGGUGGGGAAUAAGGACCGGCUAACUACGUGCCAGCAGCCGCGGUAAUACGUAGGGUCCGAGCGUUGUCCGGAAUUAUUGGGCGUAAAGAGCUCGUAGGCGGCGUGUCGCGUCUGCUGUGAAAGACCGGGGCUUAACUCCGGUUCUGCAGUGGAUACGGGCAUGCUAGAGGUAGGUAGGGGAGACUGGAAUUCCUGGUGUAGCGGUGAAAUGCGCAGAUAUCAGGAGGAACACCGGUGGCGAAGGCGGGUCUCUGGGCCUUACCUGACGCUGAGGAGCGAAAGCAUGGGGAGCGAACAGGAUUAGAUACCCUGGUAGUCCAUGCCGUAAACGUUGGGCGCUAGGUGUGGGGACUUUCCACGGUUUCCGCGCGUAGCUAACGCAUUAAGCGCCCCGCCUGGGGAGUACGGCAGCAAGGCUAAAACUCAAAGGAAUUGACGAGGGCCUGCACAAGCCUCGGAGCAUGUUGCUUAAUUCGACCCAACGCGAAGAACCUUACCAAGGUUUGACAUCACCCGUGGACUCGCAGAGAUGUGAGGUCAUUUAGUUGGCGGG